RNAcentral lists this ribosomal RNA (481 nucleotides) under uncultured bacterium. RNAcentral describes it as "partial 16S ribosomal RNA". It matches the Rfam family "Bacterial small subunit ribosomal RNA", at positions 28 to 507 of the family's 1533-position model. The record is from RNAcentral.
GACGAACGUUGGCGGCGUGCUUAAUACAUGCAAGUCAACUGAAGCAGUGGUAGCAAUCUCGCUUUGUAGGUGGCGCACGGGUGAGUAACACGUAGAUAAUCUGCCUUCAGGUCUAGCACCACUCCUCGCAACCGCGGCUGAUAGCAGAUGAUGAAGCGGCCCGCCAUCGAGACAGUUGUUAAAGCUAUCUCGCCUGGAGAUGAGCCUGCGUCUGAUUAGCUAGUUGGCGGGGUAACGGCCCACCAAGGCAACGAUCAGUAGCUGGUCUGAGAGGAUGAUCAGCCACAAUGGAACUGAGACGCGGACCAGAGUCCUGCAGGGGGAAGAAGUAAGGAAUAUUGUUCCAGGGGAGAAACCAUCAAGCAACAACGCCGCGUGAGCGGCCAAGCUCUUUUGAUUGUAAAACCCUGCAGCGAGAGAAAUAUACCUCAAUCUUCCCGACAUGACGGUACCCCAAAAGUAAGCCCCGGCUAACUACGUG